RNAcentral lists this ribosomal RNA (764 nucleotides) under uncultured archaeon. RNAcentral's name for it is "bacterial SSU rRNA". It matches the Rfam family "Archaeal small subunit ribosomal RNA", at positions 102 to 849 of the family's 1478-position model. The record is from RNAcentral.
GGCUAACCUGCCCUUGGGACAGAGACAACCCCGGGAAACUGGGGCUAAUCCCUGAUAAGUGAAGAACCCUGGAAUGGGUCUCCGCCAAAAAGACGCCUAAGUCACGCUCUUAAGCGCCGCCCAAGGAUGGGGCCGCGUCCGAUCAGGUUGUUGGUGAGGUAACGGCCCACCAAGCCUUUAACCGGUGCGGGCCGUGGGAGCGGGAGCCCGGAGAUGGGCACUGAGACAAGGGCCCAGGCCCUACGGGGCGCAGCAGUCGCGAAAACUUUGCAAUACACGAAAGUGUGACAGGGUCAUCCCGAGUGCCGUCCGCUGAGGAUGGCUUUUACCCAGUAUAGAAAGCUGGGAGAAUAAGGAGAGGGCAAGCCUGGUGUCAGCCGCCGCGGUAAUACCAGCUCUCCGAGCGGUGUGGAUGUUUAUUGGGCCUAAAGCAUCCGUAGCUGGCUGGGCAAGUCCCCUGUUAAAUCCACCGAUUUAAUCGUUGGAGUGCGGGGGAUACUGUUCGGCUAGGGGACGGGAGAGGCCGACGGUAUUUUCGGGGUAGGGGUGAAAUCCUAUAAUCCCGGGAGGACCACCAGUGGCGAAGGCUGUCGGCUAGAACGCGCCCGACGGUGAGGGAUGAAAGCUGGGGGAGCGAACCGGAUUAGAUACCCGGGUAGUCCCAGCUGUAAACGAUGCAGGCUAGGUGUUUGGGCGGCCACGUGCCGCUCUAGUGCCGCAGGGAAGCUGUUAAGCCUGCCGCCUGGGGAGUACGGCCGCAAGGC